CCUACGGGUGGCAGCAGUGGGGAAUAUUGGGCAAUGGGCGCAAGCCUGACCCAGCAACGCCGCGUGAAGGAAGAAGGCUUUCGGGUUGUAAACUUCUUUUGUCAGGGACGAAGCAAGUAACGGUACCUGACGAAUAAGCCACGGUUAACUACGUGCCAGCAGUGGCGGUAAUACGUCGGUGGCAAGCGUUAUCCGGAUUUACUGGGUGUAAAGGGCGUGUAGGCGGGACUGCAAGUCAGAUGUGAAAACCACGGGCUCAACCUGUGGCCUGCAUUUGACACUGUAGUUCUUGAGUGCUGGAGAGGCAGACGGAAUUCCUAGUGUAGCGGUGAAAUGCGUAGAUAUUAGGAGGAACACCAGUGGCGAAGGCGGUCUGCUGGACAGCAACUGACGCUGAGGCGCGAAAGCGUGGGGAGCAAACAGGAUUAGAUACCCCAGUAGUC
Molecule: ribosomal RNA, 443 nt
Filed under: uncultured bacterium
Lineage: Bacteria
Description: partial 16S ribosomal RNA
Rfam family: Bacterial small subunit ribosomal RNA
Source: RNAcentral